CUCAUCGUUAACAGGUUCGGGAACAGCGACUCAAUUGUCGUUUGAGUCGUUCUUGAACAGUCGGCGCGGGUAUGCCGUUCCUGGUGGCGCGAUGACGC
This 98-nucleotide transfer RNA is filed under the name Novipirellula aureliae. RNAcentral's name for it is "Planctomycetes bacterium Q31b tRNA-Asp". The record is from RNAcentral. Lineage: Bacteria; Pseudomonadati; Planctomycetota; Planctomycetia; Pirellulales; Pirellulaceae.